RNAcentral lists this ribosomal RNA (495 nucleotides) under uncultured bacterium. RNAcentral describes it as "partial 16S ribosomal RNA". It matches the Rfam family "Bacterial small subunit ribosomal RNA", at positions 28 to 507 of the family's 1533-position model. The record is from RNAcentral.
GACGAACGCUGGCGGCGUGCCUAAUACAUGCAAGUAGAACGCUGAAGGAGGAGCUUGCUUCUCCGGAUGAGUUGCGAACGGGUGAGUAACGCGUAGGUAACCUGCCUGGUAGCGGGGGAUAACUAUUGGAAACGAUAGCUAAUACCGCAUAACAGUAGAUAUUGCAUGAUAUCUGCUUGAAAGGUGCAAUUGCAUCACUACCAGAUGGACCUGCGUUGUAUUAGCUAGUUGGUGAGGUAACGGCUCACCAAGGCGACGAUACAUAGCCGACCUGAGAGGGUGAUCGGCCACACUGGGACUGAGACACGGCCCAGACUCCUACGGGAGGCAGCAGUAGGGAAUCUUCGGCAAUGGACGGAAGUCUGACCGAGCAACGCCGCGUGAGUGAAGAAGGUUUUCGGAUCGUAAAGCUCUGUUGUAAGAGAAGAACGAGUGUGAGAGUGGAAAGUUCACACUGUGACGGUAUCUUACCAGAAAGAGACGGCUAACUACGUG